CACGUGGGUGUUUCGCGUCAAAGAAUUAUGAAUAUUUUUCAGUUGAUGGGGUUUGAUAGCUAACAGCUGUACUUCAUCAAAAUGGAGAUAAUAGAAAGAGAUGUAAGCUCUGCUCAUGCCAAACCGCCUACACUGUCAACUCAAAGAGGAUUCCCAGAGCCACAAAAACUAGCAACUGAAUCAGAUGCCGAUCGUCCCAGUUCAGGGAGGAAGAGGAGUCUGUUUGCGCGACAGGCAGAAAAGCAGAGGAAGACGGCACCCCCAGCUGCGUCACUUAGCGCAUCUAAUCAGUUCACUUCAG
Amphibalanus amphitrite is the source of this 301-nucleotide long non-coding RNA. RefSeq lists it as uncharacterized. The record is from RefSeq and is a predicted model, not a curated record. The transcript is spliced from 3 exons. NCBI's taxonomy places the organism in Eukaryota, Metazoa, Arthropoda, Thecostraca, Balanomorpha, Balanidae.